This 513-nucleotide ribosomal RNA is filed under the name Colwellia sp. U27. RNAcentral's name for it is "bacterial SSU rRNA". It matches the Rfam family "Bacterial small subunit ribosomal RNA", at positions 30 to 526 of the family's 1533-position model. The record is from RNAcentral. Lineage: Bacteria; Pseudomonadati; Pseudomonadota; Gammaproteobacteria; Alteromonadales; Colwelliaceae.
AAAACUCGACCGCUGGCCGGCAGGCUUACACAUGCAAGUCGAGCGGAAACGAGAAUAGCUUGCUAUUCGGCGUCGAGCGGCGGACGGGUGAGUAAUGCUUGGGAAUAUGCCUUUGAGUGGGGGACAACAGUUGGAAACGACUGCUAAUACCGCAUAACGUCUACGGACCAAAGGGGGGGACGCUUCGGCACCUCUCGCUCAUUGAUUAGCCCAAGUGAGAUUAGCUAGUUGGUAAGGUAAUGGCUUACCAAGGCGACGAUCUCUAGCUGGUUUGAGAGGAUGAUCAGCCACACUGGGACUGAGACACGGCCCAGACUCCUACGGGAGGCAGCAGUGGGGAAUAUUGCACAAUGGGCGAAAGCCUGAUGCAGCCAUGCCGCGUGUGUGAAGAAGGCCUUCGGGUUGUAAAGCACUUUCAGCGAGGAGGAAAGGUUAGUAGUUAAUAACUGCUAGCUGUGACGUUACUCGCAGAAGAAGCACCGGCUAACUUCGUGCCAGCAGCCCGUNAUUUAC